CUACGGGACGCAGCAGUGAGGAAUAUUGCACAAUGGGGGGAACCCUGAUGCAGCAACGCCGCGUGGAGGAUGGCGCAUUUCGGUGUGUAAACUCCUUUUAUAUGUCAAGAAAAUGACGGUAGCAUAUGAAUAAGCGCCGGCUAACUCCGUGCCAGCAGCCGCGGUAAUACGGAGGGUGCAAGCGUUACUCGGAAUCACUGGGCGUAAAGGACGCGUAGGCGGGUUGGAAAGUCAGGUGUGAAAUCCUACAGCUUAACUGUAGAACUGCACUUGAAACUUCUAAUCUAGAGUAUGGGAGGGGGAGGUGGAAUUAGUGGUGUAGGGGUAAAAUCCGUAGAUAUCACUAGGAAUACCUAAAGCGAAGGCGAUCUCCUGGAACAUUACUGACGCUAAGGCGUGAAAGCGUGGGGAGCAAACAGGAUUAGAUACCCGGGUAGUC
RNAcentral lists this ribosomal RNA (439 nucleotides) under uncultured bacterium. RNAcentral describes it as "partial 16S ribosomal RNA". It matches the Rfam family "Bacterial small subunit ribosomal RNA", at positions 339 to 795 of the family's 1533-position model. The record is from RNAcentral.